UACGUAGGGUGCGAGCGUUAAUCGGAAUUACUGGGCGUAAAGUGUGCGCGGGCGGCCGAGCAAGUCGAGUGUGAAAGCCCCGAGCUUAACUUGGGAAUUGCGCUCGAAACUACUUGGCUGGAGUGUGGCAGAGGAAGGUGGAAUUCCAGGUGUAGCGGUGAAAUGCGUAGAGAUCUGGAGGAACACCGAUGGCGAAGGCAGCCUUCUGGGCCAACACUGACGCUCAUGCACGAAAGCGUGGGGAGCGAACCGG
Molecule: ribosomal RNA, 253 nt
Filed under: uncultured bacterium
Lineage: Bacteria
Description: partial 16S ribosomal RNA
Rfam family: Bacterial small subunit ribosomal RNA
Source: RNAcentral